CCUACGGGUGGCAGCAGUGAGGAAUAUUGGUCAAUGGUCGCGAGCCUGAACCAGCCAAGUAGCGUGAAGGAUGAAUGCCCUACGGGUUGUAAACUUCUUUUAUAAGGGAAUAAAGUUGGGCACGGGUGCCUUUUUGUAUGUACUUUAUGAAUAAGCAUCGGAUAAAUCCGUGCCAGCAGCCGCGGUAAUACGGAGGAUCCGAGCGGUAUACGGAUUUAUGGGGUUUAACGGGAGUGUAGAGGGGUUGUUAAGUCAGGUGUUAAAGUGAUGGGCUCAACCGUAAAAUUGCAUUUGAUACUGGCAGUCUAGAGUGAGGGUGAGGUAGGCGGAAUUCGUGGUGUAGCGGUGAAAUGCUUAGAUAUCACGAAGAACUCCGAUUGCGAAGGCAGCUUACUAGACUGACACUGACAUUGAGGCUCGAAAGUGUGGGUAUCAAACAGGAUUAGAUACCCUUGUAGUC
RNAcentral lists this ribosomal RNA (460 nucleotides) under uncultured bacterium. Its description in RNAcentral is "partial 16S ribosomal RNA". It matches the Rfam family "Bacterial small subunit ribosomal RNA", at positions 338 to 795 of the family's 1533-position model. The record is from RNAcentral.